UGCCCAGCAACUCCUAUCCCUAUCUCCUCACGGCACUAGCUGGGGUACGAUUAACCUUAGGGAAGAUCGGGUAACCAACCCCGGUGGGAACUUUGGUCGUAUGCUGACAGGGAAGG
This 116-nucleotide ribozyme is filed under the name Aedes aegypti (yellow fever mosquito). RNAcentral's name for it is "drz-agam-1 ribozyme". It matches the Rfam family "drz-agam-1 ribozyme". The record is from Rfam by way of RNAcentral. Lineage: Eukaryota; Metazoa; Arthropoda; Insecta; Diptera; Culicidae.